RNAcentral lists this ribosomal RNA (502 nucleotides) under uncultured bacterium. RNAcentral's name for it is "bacterial SSU rRNA". It matches the Rfam family "Bacterial small subunit ribosomal RNA", at positions 36 to 518 of the family's 1533-position model. The record is from RNAcentral.
CUGGCAGCGUGGAUUAGGCAUGCAAGUCGAACGGGAUCGCCCGAGUAGCAUACGAGGGCGUGAGAGUGGCGGAUUGGGGAGGAACACGUGAGCAACCUGCCCUGGAGAUGGGGAAAACCGUUGGAAACGACGGCUAAUACCGAAUGUGGCGCCCGCGGGCAUCCGCGGGACGCUGAAGGGGGCCGCAAGGCUCCCGCUCCGGGAUGGGCUCGCGCACCAUCAGCUAGUUGGCGGGGUAACGGCCCACCAAGGCCUACGGUUAGCUGGUCUGAGAGGAUGACCAGCCCCACUGGGACUGAGAUACUGCCCAGACUCCUACGGGAGGCUGCAGUCGAGGAUCAUUCGCAAUGGGCGAAAGCCUGACGAUGCGACGCUGCGUGGAGGACGGAGGCCUUCGGGUCGUAAACUCCUGUCAUGGGGGAAAAGGCGGAGCGGGCCAACAACCCGCCGAGUUGAUGGUACCCCAAGAGGAAGCGACGGCUAACUCUGUGCCAGCCGCCGC